This is a long non-coding RNA of Ictalurus punctatus (channel catfish), 1651 nucleotides long. Lineage: Eukaryota; Metazoa; Chordata; Actinopteri; Siluriformes; Ictaluridae. The record is from Ensembl.
ACCAAACCUCAGUGGAUUCCCAAGUCCAAGCCUCCUGACUGUGGCUGGGCCUGUGUGGUAGUGAAAACUGGCAGCUUCACCUCCCAUAGGCAUGGAAUGCAUAAGGACAAGCAAUUAUCCUGUUUCCUCAGGAGAGUAAUGGAUUACACCUCACACACACUGUAUCAACUGCACUGUACCAGGAAGCAGAGGGAAAUUCCAUGUCCUUUCUACUUUGAAAUAGGAGAAAAGAGACAGAUAAACUGAAGGAAUGAAGACAAAGUGGAAGUGCCUAAACAUUUCAAGGUACAGAUUUCACACACUAUGGUGGAAAAACAGAUAAGACAGGAAGUUCUGAAGGAAUGAGAUAGAGUUUAAUAACCUGAGCUGAACAACGUUACACACGAAGGAGCUGGAACGUAUUAGCGACUCCAGUGAAGAGUUCUCAGCAGGAAGAAGAAGCAGAUGAUUCACCACCCUUUGUUUAUGUUGGAGAAGCCAGAAGCCUUUGUUUGUAACGACAGCUUCAAGACACUUCCUGUAUGAAGAAAUUAAUGGGAUGCAGUAUUCAGGUGUGAUUUUGGUCAAUUCUUCUAAACACAUUGUCUUUAAAUCUUGUUCAAUUGGAUUCAAGUCAGGUGAUUGACUGGGCCAUUCUAACCUUGAAUUUUUUCCCCUGAAACCAAUUUAGAGUUUCCUUUGCUGUAUGCUUUGGAUUGUUGUCCUGCUGGAUGGUCCACCCACAUCUCAUCUUCAUCAUCCUGGUGGAUGGCAGCAGAUUCUUCUCAAGAGUUUCCCGGGGGGACACCAUCUGCUAUCACACCAAGUUCACAGAGGCUACAAAUGUUCUGAGGAGAUUUUACUUUCCAUACCAGGAAUCUACAAUGCAAAGGGGAGUCUGAUUUUGUCUAAUUAUUGUUUCUGUAUUUCUGUAUUAAUGUACAUGUUUAUAGAAUUAUGUAUUCAGUUGAAUUUUCUGUGUAUUACUGUGCACAUAAUUAUGAACUCAGCUAAUUAAUGAUCUAAAUCUUAUCCUAACAUUAACCUGAGUAAUUAAAAGAAAAGCAUUUUUUUUUAAAGGGUCAACACUGUCAGAUGUUCCUGUUCUUGUGGAGCCUUUUGGUCUCCACCAAGUUAUAAAAACAUACCCACACCCACGCAUGCACACACACACACACACACACACACACACACACACACACACACACACACACACACACACACACACACACAAAUACUAGAAUAACCUAUAAUGCUGUAAUCUGUUUAAAUGCCAUGAUAAUCCAUUAUUACUUAUAAAAACACAGCUAGAACAACAGGCUUUUUGAUUCCAAGACAUCAUAAUCAUCAGAGGUUACAUUAUCUAAUACAAACACACUUCCAAUAUUGAGCACAACAGUCUAAUGCCAAGAACUAGUCUUUGUGAGAUGCUGAAGUGUUGAACACAAGACAUGCCCUUGAUAUGGCAUGGCAUGUUUUUUAUACAACACUGAAACAAAUCUGUCUGGGAUGAAAUUUAAGACAAAGCUGGGAGCCAAAACAAUGAGUGAGCUGAAUGAUAAGCUAAAGGCAAAAUGGAAACCUGCUGGAACACAGCUCAUGCAUGUCAGCUAUAUUGCUUCAUAAUCCCCCUGUUAUCUACAACAGGUAUGUCCCCUCCCUUUUGCCUGCG